AGAAAUAUGCAUAUACAAGGUACAUCAUAG
This 30-nucleotide small RNA is filed under the name Arabidopsis thaliana (thale cress). RNAcentral describes it as "ATSL252210". The record is from RNAcentral. Lineage: Eukaryota; Viridiplantae; Streptophyta; Magnoliopsida; Brassicales; Brassicaceae.